UACGUAGGGAGCAAGCGUUGUCCGGAAUCAUUGGGCGUAAAGCGCGCGUAGGCGGCCUCGUAAGUCCGUUGUGAAAGUCAAAGGCUCAACCUUUGAAAGCCGAUGGAUACUGUGAGGCUAGAGUCCGGAAGAGGCGAGUGGAAUUCCUGGUGUAGCGGUGGAAUGCGCAGAUAUCAGGAGGAACACCAAUAGCGAAGGCAGCUCGCUGGGACGGUACUGACGCUAAGGCGCGAAAGCGUGGGGAGCGGACAGG
RNAcentral lists this ribosomal RNA (253 nucleotides) under uncultured bacterium. Its description in RNAcentral is "partial 16S ribosomal RNA". It matches the Rfam family "Bacterial small subunit ribosomal RNA", at positions 524 to 776 of the family's 1533-position model. The record is from RNAcentral.